AUGGCCAUGGAGAUGGGCCGGAGCUGGCAGGAGCUCGGCGUCGUGGACACCAUCUACGAGGACGACCACGAGGAGGAAGACGAGGAGGAGGAGACGGAGGACUGCUUCAACUCGCCCACCAUGUCCUCCUCGGCGCCCACGUCGGCGUCGUGCUCGCCCGCGGCGCCGUCCGCCUCCUCCCUCCCGCCGGCGCUCAGGAGCGCGGUGCAAGGAUGGUCGCGGGCUAAUGGAUCGCGCAAGCCGGACGUGAUCGUGCGUGUCCAAGAACACUGCUUCCAUCUGCACAGGGACCCGAUCACGUCGGAGAGCAGCUACCUGAAGCGGCAGCUGUCGGAGUGCAGCGACAUCGCCGUGGACCUACCGGCGGGCCUCACGGUCGACGCGUUCGCCGACGCGGUGGCGUCCAGCUAUGGCGCCGACGUGGCGCUGUCGCCGGAGAACCUGGCCGCAGCGUGGGUGGCCGCGGACUGGCUGGAGCUGACUGCGGAGGACGGGCUGGCGCGCCGCGCCGAGGACUACUUCUUCGAGGAAGUGGCCACGGACCACGGCCGCGCCGCGGUGGUGCUGCGGUCGUGUGCGUCGUUCCUCUGUGGCGAGGCCGCCGUGGCCGGCGCGGGGCUGCUCGUCCGGUGCCUGGAGACGCUCGCGGCGUCCGGCGGCGCCGACGGCAGGUGGCUCGAGGACGUGGCAGCGCUGCCGCUCGAGGAGUUCCAGGUGGUCGUGGAGGCACUGCGCGCGCGGCUCGCGCACGACCACGACCUCAUGUACACCAUCGUGGAUCACUACCUCGAGAACCACAAGGGGAAGCUGACGGAGGAGGAGAAGAGCCGGCUGUGCUACAACGUGAACUGCGCCAAGCUGUCGCACCACCUCUUCAUGCACCUCGUGCAGAACCCGCGGCUGCCGCUCCGCUUCGUCGUCCAGGCCAUGCUCGUCGAGCAGCUCCACUCCCACCACCCCAUGCUCCUCACCCAGCACCACCACGCCGCCGCCGCGGCUCCGGUCUCCGCCGCGCCACUGCCGUUGCUGCCUGGGCUACAUAAGGGGUCCGUCUCCGGCGCGUUCAGCAGCGCCGUGGCCGCCGCGACCGCCGGGGACGCCGCCAACAUGACGCUCGGCGACAUCCUCCAGCACGACGCGGUGCUGCGCCAGUCCGCGCACAUCCGCGCAUCCAUGGAUGCCACGGGGCACCGCAUCGACACCCUCGAGCGCGAGCUCGCCAGUCUCCGCUGCCGCCUGCGCCGCUCCGAGCAGGCCGCGGCUGCUGUCACGGCCUCGGCCGCGAUCGACCGCGUGUCCGCCAAGUCGGCCAGCUUCCGCAUCCCGCGCAGCCGGCUCUGGAACGGCGAGGACCUCUCGUCCAGCACCGCCACCACCGGCCGGUCCGUCGCCAGGGACAACCUUAGCCUCAAGUCACGUCUGGUGCACGGGUUCAAGAGCCUGUUCGGCCGGAGGCCAGGGAACGGUGUCGCGCCGCCGCCUGCGAGCAGUGGUGACGCCGGCACUGAUGUCCGCGUCGGCGAGAAAGGCGCGUGUGCGUCAUGUCCGCCGGAGCGAGAGGACGGCUACGAUAAGGAGCUGUGCAAGGAGGAGUGGAGUACUCGGGCUCACCGGAGGAACCUGUCGAUGGUGUGA
Molecule: ribosomal RNA, 1635 nt
Filed under: Triticum aestivum (bread wheat)
Lineage: Eukaryota; Viridiplantae; Streptophyta; Magnoliopsida; Poales; Poaceae
Description: partial small subunit ribosomal RNA
Source: RNAcentral